GACGAACGCUGGCGGCGUGCUUAACACAUGCAAGUCGAGCGGUAAGGCCCUUUUGGGGGUACACGAGCGGCGAACGGGUGAGUAACACGUGGGUGACCUGCCCUCAGCUCUGGGAUAAGCCUGGGAAACUGGGUCUAAUACUGGAUAUGACCUUUCCUCGCAUGGGGUUGGGUGGAAAGUUUUCGGUCUGGGGAUGGGCCCGCGGCCUAUCAGCUUGUUGGUGGGGUGAUGGCCUACCAAGGCGACGACGGGUAGCCGGCCUGAGAGGGCGACCGGCCACACUGGGACGUGAGACACGGCCCAGACUCCUACGGGAGGCAGCAGUGGGAAUAUUGCGCAAUGGGCGGAAGCCUGACGCAGCGACG
This 365-nucleotide ribosomal RNA is filed under the name uncultured bacterium. Its description in RNAcentral is "bacterial SSU rRNA". It matches the Rfam family "Bacterial small subunit ribosomal RNA", at positions 28 to 396 of the family's 1533-position model. The record is from RNAcentral.